AGAAUAAGGGUUUGACUCCGGAGAGGGAGCCUGAGAAACGGCUACCACUUCUAAGGAAGGCAGCAGGCGCGCAAAUUACCCAUUCUCGGCACGAGGAGGUAGUGACGAAAAAUACCAAGCUGGGAUCCAUUGGGUUCCGGCAUUGGAAUGAGAACAAUAUAAAUCUUUUAACGAGGAUCUAGUGGAGGGCAAGUCUGGUGCCAGCAGCCGCGGUAAUUCCAGCUCCGCAAGUGUAUAUCUAUGUUGCUGCGGUUAAAAAGCUCGUAGUUGGAUCUGCGUGUUUAGCGUCCGGUUCGACUUUUGGUCGUUACUGGAACGCGACACAGAUGUGCUGGUUUGCCGUUGAUGCUCUUAACCGGGUGUCAGUGGCGGCUAGCGAGUUUACUUUGAAAAAAUUAGAGUGCUCAAAACAGGCGUUUCGCCUGAAUAUUUCUGCAUGGAAUAAUAGAAUAGGACUUCGAUUCUAUUCUGUUGGUUUUCGGAAUGCGAAGUAAUGAUUAAGAGGGACAGACGGGGGCAUUCGUACUGCGACGUUAGAGGUGAAAUUCUUGGAUCGUCGCAAGACGUACUACUGCGAAGGCAUUUGCCAAGAAUGUUUUCAUUAAUCAAGAACGAAAGUUAUGGGUUCGAAGGCGAUCAGAUACCGCCCUAGUCAUAACCGUAAACGAUUCAAACUGGGCGCCCGACGGUGUUUUUAUUGACCCGUCGGGAACCCUCCCGGAAACGAAAGUGUUCGUGUUCCGGGGGAAAUAUGUCUGCAAAGAGGAAACUUAAAGGAAUUGACGGAAGGGCACCACCAGGGGUGGAGCCUGCGGCUUAAUUUGACCCAACACGGGGAAACUCACCCGGCCCGGACACCGUAAGGAUUGACAGAUUGAGAGCUCUUUCUUGAUUCGGUGGGUGGUGGUGCAUGGCCGUUCUUAGUUGGUGGAGUGAUUUGUCUGGUUUAUUCCGAUAACGAACGAGACUCUGGCCUGCUAACUAGUGUUCACAUCUUUACGUGUGCUUCGCUUCUUAGAGGGACAGGCGGCUUCCAGCCGCAUGAAGAAGAGCAAUAACAGGUCUGUGAUGCCCUUAGAUGUCCGGGGCUGCACGCGCGCUACACUGAAAGAAUCAGCGUGUACGUUACCUGGCUCGAAAGAGUCGGGUAAUCCGGUGAAAAUCUUUCGUGAUUGGGAUCGGGACUUGCAAUUAUUUCCCUUGAACGAGGAAUCCCUAGUAAGUGCGGGUCAUCAGCUCGCGCUGAUUACGUCCCUGCCCUUUGUACACACCGCCCGUCGCUGCCCGGAACUGAGCCGUUUCGAGAAAAAUGGGGACUGUCUACUUGAGGUCUUCACGGACUUUUUGUAAAUGGAAACCGCUUUAAUCGCAGCGGCUUGAACCGGGCAAAAGUCGUAACAAGGUU
Molecule: ribosomal RNA, 1405 nt
Filed under: metagenome
Description: SSU rRNA
Rfam family: Eukaryotic small subunit ribosomal RNA
Source: RNAcentral